RNAcentral lists this ribosomal RNA (270 nucleotides) under uncultured bacterium. Its description in RNAcentral is "partial 16S ribosomal RNA". It matches the Rfam family "Bacterial small subunit ribosomal RNA", at positions 28 to 300 of the family's 1533-position model. The record is from RNAcentral.
GACGAACGCUGGCGGCGUGCUUAACACAUGCAAGUCGAACGGAAAGGCCCCUUCGGGGGUGCUCGAGUGGCGAACGGGUGAGUAACACGUGGGUGAUCUGCCCUGCACUUCGGGAUAAGCUUGGGAAACUGGGUCUAAUACCGGAUAGGACCAUGGGAUGCAUGUCUUGUGGUGGAAAGCUUUUGCGGUGUGGGAUGGGCCCGCGGCCUAUCAGCUUGUUGGUGGGGUGAUGGCCUACCAAGGCGACGACGGGUAGCCGGCCUGAGAGGG